AUUGAACGCUGGCGGCAUGCUUUACACAUGCAAGUCGGACGGCAGCACAGAGAAGCUUGCUUCUUGGGUGGCGAGUGGCGAACGGGUGAGUAACAUAUCGGAACGUACCGAGCAGUGGGGGAUAACUAAUCGAAAGAUUAGCUAAUACCGCAUAUCUUCUGAGGAAGAAAGCAGGGGACCAUUUGGCCUUGCGCUGUUUGAGCGGCCGAUAUCUGAUUAGCUAGUUGGUGGGGUAAAGGCCUACCAAGGCGACGAUCAGUAGCGGGUCUGAGAGGAUGAUCCGCCACACUGGGACUGAGACACGGCCCAGACUCCUAGGGGAGGCAGCGGUGGGGAAUUUUGGACAAUGGGCGAAAGCCUGAUCCAGCCAUGCCGCGUGUCUGAAGAAGGCCUUCGGGUUGUAAAGGACUUUUGUCAGGGAAGAAAGGGCGGGGUUAAUACCCCUGUCUGAUGACGGUACCUGAAGAAUAAGCACCGGCUAACUACGUG
Molecule: ribosomal RNA, 489 nt
Filed under: uncultured bacterium
Lineage: Bacteria
Description: partial 16S ribosomal RNA
Rfam family: Bacterial small subunit ribosomal RNA
Source: RNAcentral